GUAAGGAAUAUUGGUCAAUGGAGGCAACUCUGAACCAGCCAUGCCGCGUGCAGGAAGACGGCCCUCUGGGUUGUAAACUGCUUUUAUCCGGGAAUAAACCUGCCUUCGUGAAGGUAGCUGAAUGUACCGGAAGAAUAAGGAUCGGCUAACUCCGUGCCAGCAGCCGCGGUAAUACGGAGGAUCCAAGCGUUAGCCGGAAUUAUUGGGUUUAAAGGGUGCGUAGGCGGCCUGUUAAGUCAGGGGUGAAAGACGGUGGCUCAACCAUCGCAUUGCACUUGAUACUGAUGGGCUUGAAUGGACUAGAGGUAGGCGGAAUGUGACAAGUAGCGGUGAAAUGCAUAGAUAUGUCACAGAACACCGAUUGCGAAGGCAGCUUACUAUGGUCCUAUUGACGCUGAGGCACGAAAGCGUGGGGAUCGAACAGGAUUAGAAACCCUAGUAGUCC
Molecule: ribosomal RNA, 445 nt
Filed under: uncultured bacterium
Lineage: Bacteria
Description: bacterial SSU rRNA
Rfam family: Bacterial small subunit ribosomal RNA
Source: RNAcentral